RNAcentral lists this ribosomal RNA (864 nucleotides) under Acrophialophora fusispora. RNAcentral's name for it is "eukaryotic LSU rRNA". It matches the Rfam family "Eukaryotic large subunit ribosomal RNA", at positions 50 to 955 of the family's 3401-position model. Lineage: Eukaryota; Fungi; Ascomycota; Sordariomycetes; Sordariales; Chaetomiaceae. The record is from RNAcentral.
GCGGAGGAAAAGAAACCAACAGGGAUUGCCCUAGUAACGGCGAGUGAAGCGGCAACAGCUCAAAUUUGAAAUCUGGCUUCGGCCCGAGUUGUAAUUUGCAGAGGAAGCUUUAGGCGCGGCACCUCCUGAGUCCCCUGGAACGGGGCGCCACAGAGGGUGAGAGCCCCGUAUAGUUGGAUGCCUAGCCUGUGUAAAGCUCCUUCGACGAGUCGAGUAGUUUGGGAAUGCUGCUCAAAAUGGGAGGUAAAUUUCUUCUAAAGCUAAAUACCGGCCAGAGACCGAUAGCGCACAAGUAGAGUGAUCGAAAGAUGAAAAGCACUUUGAAAAGAGGGUUAAAUAGCACGUGAAAUUGUUGAAAGGGAAGCGCUUGUGACCAGACUUGCGCCGGGCUGAUCAUCCGGUGUUCUCACCGGUGCACUCUGCCCGGCUCAGGCCAGCAUCGGUUCUCGCGGGGGGAUAAAGGCCCUGGGAACGUAGCUCCUCCGGGAGUGUUAUAGCCCGGGGCGUAAUGCCCUCGCGGGGACCGAGGUUCGCGCUCUGCAAGGAUGCUGGCGUAAUGGUCAUCAGCGACCCGUCUUGAAACACGGACCAAGGAGUCAAGGUUUUGCGCGAGUGUUUGGGUGUAAAACCCGCACGCGUAAUGAAAGUGAACGUAGGUGAGAGCUUCGGCGCAUCAUCGACCGAUCCUGAUGUUCUCGGAUGGAUUUGAGUAGGAGCGUUAAGCCUUGGACCCGAAAGAUGGUGAACUAUGCUUGGAUAGGGUGAAGCCAGAGGAAACUCUGGUGGAGGCUCGCAGCGGUUCUGACGUGCAAAUCGAUCGUCAAAUCUGAGCAUGGGGCGAAGACUAUCGACCUCUAUACUGGU